This 530-nucleotide ribosomal RNA is filed under the name uncultured eukaryote. RNAcentral's name for it is "bacterial SSU rRNA". It matches the Rfam family "Eukaryotic small subunit ribosomal RNA", at positions 21 to 549 of the family's 1831-position model. The record is from RNAcentral.
UAGUCAUAUGCUUGUCUCAAAGACCAUGCCAUGCAUGUCUAAGUACAACCCUCAUUAAGGUGAAACCGCGAAUGGGUCAUUAAAUCACACCUAAUCUACUCUAUAGUUAACAGUUACUUGGAUAACUGCGGAAAUUCUGGAGCUAAUACAUGCACAAAGCCCCAAACUUACGGGAGGGGCGCUUUUAUUAAAUCAAAACCAAACGGCUUCGGCUGUAUCCUUGGUGACUCUAAAUAACUUUGGGCUGAUCGCUGGGCCUACCCCCGGCAACUUAUCUUUCAAAGGUGUGCCCUAUCAAUUGUCAACUGUGGAAUAAACCCCCACAGGGGUUUUGACGGGUAACGGGAAAUCAGGUUUCAAUUCCGGAAAGGAACCCUUAAAACCGGUUCCCACUUCUAAGGAAGGCAGCAGGCACCCAAUUUACCCAUUGACCGAAGGUCAAGGUAGGGACAAAAAAUAACGAUACGGGACUCUUCUGAGGCCCCGUAAUCGAAAUGAGUACACUUUAAAACCGUCCCCGAGAAUCUAUU